AACGAACGCUGGCGGCAUGCCUAACACAUGCAAGUCGAACGCGUGUAGCAAUACACGAGUGGCGGACGGGUGAGUAACGCGUGGGAACCUGCCCAAUGGUAGGGAAUAACUGCGGGAAACUGCAGCUAAUACCCUAUGCUCCCUACGGGGGAAAGAUUUAUCGCCAUUGGAGGGGCCCGCGUCGGAUUAGCUAGUUGGCGGGGUAACGGCCCACCAAGGCUACGAUCCGUAGCUGGUCUGAGAGGAUGAUCAGCCACACUGGGACUGAGAUACGGCCCAGACUCCUACGGGAGGCAGCAGU
This 301-nucleotide ribosomal RNA is filed under the name uncultured bacterium. RNAcentral's name for it is "bacterial SSU rRNA". It matches the Rfam family "Bacterial small subunit ribosomal RNA", at positions 29 to 355 of the family's 1533-position model. The record is from RNAcentral.